CUCGAGUUUAACAGAUUCAGGUCUUUGGUUCGGCCGAACUUAACACAGGCACUGCAAGGCUGUGGUCAGCUCGUGUCGUGAGAUUAUCGGAUCAUUCCCGCACCGAGCGCAACCCUCACCAUUAGGCGCCAUCGUUUAGUCGGGCCGUCCGAAAAACUUUCCUGUGAUAAAGUGGAGGAAGGUGGGGAAAGCGUCAAGUCGUCAUGGCCCGUAUGUGUUGGUUAACCCACGUGCUCCAAUGGUAUUUCCGGCCGCAGGCAAAUCUUGUAAGUUUAGCCCAUCCGUUAGAGAUCCCCCAGCGGGGAGUGCAUUGCGCAACUUGAGUGCAUGAAGCUGGAUUUCCUAGUUAUCGCGCACCUGCGUGCCGCCGUGAAUGCGUUCCGGGGUUUUGUAUACUCCGCCCGCCACCCCAUGGUAGUCGGUUUCACUAUAAGUCAAGGUUUAAGCCCUUUCACCACGGAAUAGUC
RNAcentral lists this ribosomal RNA (467 nucleotides) under uncultured Alphaproteobacteria bacterium. Its description in RNAcentral is "bacterial SSU rRNA". It matches the Rfam family "Bacterial small subunit ribosomal RNA", at positions 989 to 1452 of the family's 1533-position model. The record is from RNAcentral. Lineage: Bacteria; Pseudomonadati; Pseudomonadota; Alphaproteobacteria.